Long non-coding RNA from Haplochromis burtoni (Burton's mouthbrooder), 308 nucleotides. RefSeq lists it as uncharacterized. The record is from RefSeq and is a predicted model, not a curated record. Lineage: Eukaryota; Metazoa; Chordata; Actinopteri; Cichliformes; Cichlidae. The transcript is spliced from 3 exons.
UCUUAGCUGUUUGUCUUUACUGAUGGAGAGGUGGGGAACACCAAAGAAGUGAUCGAUCUGGUGAAGAAGAACUCAGGUUCUCACAGGUGUUUCUCUUUUGGGUUUGGGGAAGGGGCCAGCUCUGCCCUCAUUAAUGGGAUGGCCAAGGAAGGAGGAGGUCACGCUCAGUUCAUCACAGGGACUGACAGGAUGCAACCAAAAGUGAUGCAGUCGCUGCGAUUUGCUCUGCAGCCGGUUGUGGUCGACAUCUCAGUCACAUGGGAUUUACCAAAGAAAGUGUCUGUCACUGUCCUCUCUCCACCAAUCAC